Molecule: ribosomal RNA, 100 nt
Filed under: uncultured bacterium
Lineage: Bacteria
Description: partial 16S ribosomal RNA
Rfam family: Bacterial small subunit ribosomal RNA
Source: RNAcentral
UAGGGAAUCUUCCACAAUGGACGAAAGUCUGAUGGAGCAACGCCGCGUGAGUGAAGAAGGGUUUCGGCUCGUAAAGCUCUGUUGGUAGUGAAGAAAGAUA